Long non-coding RNA from Pocillopora verrucosa, 1514 nucleotides. RefSeq lists it as uncharacterized. The record is from RefSeq and is a predicted model, not a curated record. Lineage: Eukaryota; Metazoa; Cnidaria; Anthozoa; Scleractinia; Pocilloporidae.
UGGCGGCAUGUUUGGAAAAAUAAUAUUUACAAAACCUGAGCAAACUGAAAACAGUCCUUAAGCUUCCCAUAACGUGUCAUGAGUUGAAACGUACGUAUUGCAUCAUUUUGGUGAUAUCUGUGUGGAGAGAAUGGAUUGCCAGACAAGGAUUGGAAAAAAUUCAUGAGGACUCACAUCUCGAAUUUGUCACAAACACGUGUAAAAGAGCUAAUUCAAGAUAAGAUCCACCACAAAAGCAUGACAGUUGAACAUCUUGAGCCAAGAAAUGAUGGUGAAAAGUAUUGAGAGAGAGUACUGGUGAUGACUGACAACAACAAUGCAAAUGAAAGGUAGACAAUGGUUUAGUUGAAGAUUGCAGUUAUGGAAGAAUAAUUAAUGAUGUUUACCGGGAUUGAAGGUUACAAGAUGAUCUCUUGAAAUACUGAUUACAGAUAGCUGAGCGAAGCAAAUGAUAAAGAUUGGACCUGAGAAAGCAUCACCUAGGAAAGGCAGUAGAAAUUCGCUGUUUGUCAGAAGAAGAAAAGCCACUACAGUAAUGACAUCGAGAAAAACUCAUCCUACACUAUGGUUUGCUCGAUAGAGAAGCUAUUUUGAAGACUGGCGUCUCGUGUUCCUAAGGUUUCUUCGACCACCUAAGGCUGGAUACCAAGGAACACGAUCACCUUAAGCAUAAGGCCAGAGACAAAUAACAAUCUUAGAGAGAAAGAAAAAUUGGAUCGACCCCAAUUCAGAGAAUAAAAUAAAAAAAUUGGGGUUUGAUCCGUCCACCAUCCCCCACCACACCUGCCCCUAUUAAAAGGUACUUAUAGGUUAUCAACCUUGAAGGGAAAACGCAAACGGUUUCUGUCCACCAUCUACCACCACACCCGCCACUUUUAUUAACUCAUGAUAAUGCAUCUACCUUGUGAUGCAGUACAGUAUAUUACUGUACAGUACUACAAUACAAUCUUUUAAUAUAUAGUACAGUAGUAAUAUUACAAACUCUUUAUUACAAUUUUUUAAUACAGUAAUAUUACAAAUUUGAUAUAGUUGUUUUUCUCCAUCCGACCUCCCCCGCCCGCCAACCUCUUGCAGACAAUUUUCUUUAUUCUUUUUAAAAGUUGUCCACCUUGUGGUAGUAACAUCUACUGUCAAACGCAUGCGUUUUAUCUAGCCAAAUGUCUGUCUUUAUACACAUGCGUAUUACACGAGGCUAUUACCACAAGGUAGUCAAUUUUUGCAAAUACUGAAACACUGCCUUUGCACAUUAGACAUGGUUGGGAACGGAGGCGCAUCUACCCCUAAUUCUUAUUUCUUCUCGGAAGGUUGACAAUUGUUUGGUUUUUUGGUCAUUCUUCAUGAAUUCUAUGAAGGGAAAAAUAAAGAAAUAUGUAUGAGCCACAAUAUAAUAGUAUAAUACACGACAUGUUGUAAUUGUAUACAUAAAAAAGUUUUGUACAAUCGGACAUUCGUUGGACAAAGCACAACAACAACAACAAAACAAUGAAUAUGUACGCAAUGAAACAAUGAAAUAA